RNAcentral lists this ribosomal RNA (253 nucleotides) under uncultured bacterium. RNAcentral's name for it is "partial 16S ribosomal RNA". It matches the Rfam family "Bacterial small subunit ribosomal RNA", at positions 102 to 353 of the family's 1533-position model. The record is from RNAcentral.
ACGGGUGAGUAACGCGUGGGUAACCUGCCUUAUACUGGGGGAGUAACAGCCAGAAAUGGCUGCUAAUACCGCAUAAGCGCACAGAACCGCAUGGUCCGUGUGAAAAACUCCGGUGGUAUAAGAUGGACCCGCGUUGGAUUAGCUAGUUGGCAGGGCAGCGGCCUACCAAGGCGACGAUCCAUAGCCGGCCUGAGAGGGUGAACGGCCACAUUGGGACUGAGACACGGCCCAGACUCCUACGGGAGGCAGCAUG